Long non-coding RNA from Magallana angulata, 3452 nucleotides. RefSeq lists it as uncharacterized. The transcript is spliced from 3 exons. The record is from RefSeq and is a predicted model, not a curated record. NCBI's taxonomy places the organism in Eukaryota, Metazoa, Mollusca, Bivalvia, Ostreida, Ostreidae.
AUCGGGCAGCACAGUGGGGACCAUUGUAGCGGUCUUCCUGUCGGCCAUUGUGAUAUGUCUACUUCUGAUUGUGUUCCACAAAAAGGAGAGAAGUGACGCAGUAGCUUCCAGACUUCGAGGGCUAUUCAGAAGACAUUCCAGUUCAUAUAGGUAUAGUGAGAUUCCAUCAAGUGAAGUAGAGGAUUUUCUCCCAGAGAUCUCGGCCAGUGACCUUGGAAUUCAGGGGUCGGUGCAGGUCACCACAGAUACCGAGGACAUAAGUAUAUUACGGAGCGAGGAGUCCCCGGCGGUCAUCAGUUACCAUGACGACAGUGAUGAAGAACUGCUGGCAUAACACAAAAGAUGGCAGAACCUUCCUUAUUCAUAUCAAUAAAUAAAUAUAGCAGAUUUGUGAUGGAUCAGGUCGUGAACUAUGAUACAAUCUAAGAUGCUCUCACAAAUUAUGUGAUGACAUUUGACAAGAUGCUCUUUAAAAGCUGUGAUGAAAGACUGCUUUAUGUAUCGUAGCAAAAUGCUCUUAAGAUUUCAGUGCUAUUAACCUCCCAGUAUGUUGUUCUGAUGUGCGUAAAUGCAUAAAUUUAAUGUUAGGAAAGAGCUUGAAGGCAUGGUGUCAAGAUGAAUUGAAUUGUUCUUUAAAAUGGCGUAUUAAAGCAUCGUUUGCAUAUGGUUGUAGUAAAUGAACUGACACGCGCUUCCCACAAUGCUUUAUAUUCAGCCAAUAACUUAUAUCUUGCAAAAUAUUCAUGGAAUCGUUCAUAUGCUAGAUUCAUUUUUAAGUCCCAAUAAUUUAAGCCUUUCAUUCAUACAAUUCAAAGCACUUCAUGAAUUUUAAAGACUAGUAUAUUUUUGGUCUUUGUCUUGAAUCUGAAUCUAUUUAUUGUGGCAUUGAACCAUCCCACAAUAUUAGAUACAUGUAAUUAUUUUAAGAUUUGUAUCUAUGUAGAGCAAGUAAUGGACAUUUUAUUGAUACUGGUAUUAAGCAGCACAUUUUAGUUUCUGUCUUUUUUACUGGAAUUUUUGUUUGGUGCCUCAUAUGUUACAGGCCUAUAAACAAAAGGUUACUGGUCAUUUAAGCAAUUUUCCUUGUCAAUUAAGGUGGCUCACUAUACCUUGGAAAAUUAUUUGAUUAUGAUAGAUAAGAAGUAUAUAAGUCAAAUAUGUGAAAAAAUGUGCAAUUUGGAUAAAAAUUUAUAUUUUCAAAAAAUUAAUUCAGUAAAUAUGAAAAAAAAGUUUGGUGGAUAUGAACUCAUGAUCUGAGUUUCACAAGCCCGAUACUUUAACCACUGAGAUAUGUUGAUAUUCAGCCUAGUUAAUUGAAUAUAAACAAUUUAACAAAACAUUUAAAUCGCCAUCUUAAAAAGUUAAAGUCUAGGUGUAGUGCGGUACCUUAAAGAAUAUAUAUUCUUACUCUUUACUAAAUAUGCAUGGACAACAGGACAAGUGCUCUUCACAAAGCACCAGCCCAGAGCCCUAAUAUGUAGGUUCCAGACAUUUGGGCAAACAAUGGAAACAUAGUAAAAUUGAUUUUAAUGAUCUCUGUAUGUGGAUUCUUCUAUAUUUGGACUUUAUAGUACAUAUAGUGCAUGACAUUUUUAAGCCUUGCAAGGAAUUUUACACAAUGAUUUAUAAUGAUAUUGUGACAUUUAGUAGACAAAUCUGUAUUUGUCUCUUUAUUUAAACUUUGUGAAAUAUACAUUUGCUGGGGUGUUUUGUGUUAUGGCAUAAACUAUGACUUAUCACUAAAUUAAAUACAUGUACAUAUACCUUUACAUAUUAGAAGAAUGUUUGCAUUUAUUUGAUAAAUAUUCAAGAAUAUUUGCCAAUUGUGACUUUAUCUGAUUAAAAAUGACUUUCUGUUAUUUUAAAAGUCAUAUAAUUAUGUGUUGGUAUUUAAUUUUCACCCUUAUUUCAUUAUCAAUAUGUUGGAUAUUUUUCUUGAAUAAUGUUAUUUAUAAUGUAUCCAUAAGGUAACCUACUCUCUGGAAAAAAAUAAUGUUAUUUUUACAAGAUAUUUACAUGACAUUGUAUAUGUUCUUCUGUCACUCUAUGUCUUGUGUACUUGUACAAGUAGAUUUAAUAUGUAACUAAAUUAAUCCUUUUACAUCAUGUACAUGGGUGAUCGUUCCUUCCGUAUGAUUUUUAUGAAAAACUGAAAUUCUUAAAUAUGUUUCUGAUGUAUUUUUCAUGUUUAUGGGAUUUUAGAUGUUUGACAUGUCCGGUGGAUAUUUCACAUUAUGUUCAUUAGAAAUUUUAGAUGUUGGAUUGACAGAAGAUUGAUUUACUAUCAUACAUGUAAUUGCAUUGACAUGACAUUCAUGUGUAUGAGAUUUUCCAUAUAAUCAUGCUCAUGAGGGAUUCUAUAUGUACAAGAAAAUCUCUUUUAAUAUUUUCUAAUUCAUGACAAAUAGUAUUUUAGAUUCAUGAGGAAUUCUACAUGAUAUUCAUUGUAAGUGAUUCCAUUAUGUUUUUGAAAAAAAAACCAACUCUCUAGUACUUGUAUGUUUAUGUGAGUAUUUGGCAUGUCAUUGAGGGGAUUUUGACUACCGGUAUUCUUCUUCUUUGUGGUGACAAGAUGUGCUUAUCUGAAUGAUAUAAUAUUAGAUAAGAAAGUGCACUUUUCUGGGUGAUAUAUUAGAUAAAUCUGUGAUAAUGGUUUUCAGUGUGCAGCAAUAAGUUGUAACGUGAUAGGCCCAUUGAACAAAGAUUUACCAUUGUGUACUCUGUACAAUGUUUCAACAUGCACAUACAGAGAGUUGACUGUUCUAUGUAUUCUCAAUAUAAUAUCAAUCAAUAUUGAAUUCUCACUGUUAUAUUAGAAUAUACAUUCUUUGUUGCGUUAAGGGUUAAAUGUAUGGUGACUACCUAAUGGUGCAGUUUAUGAAUGAACUUGACUUACUGAGCUAAUUCUUCGAAUUAUAGAGUUUAUUUGAAUAUUGUGGGUGUGGAUGUUCAAAAUCAAACACUUUUUUGUGCUGUCUAAUGUUUAUUUCAACUAUAAUCAUUCUGCUUAUGUGGGAUACUGCAAUUAUUAUUACACAUUCCUUGUUAAUUAACUGCAUUUUGCAUAUUUAUGUUGUGGACAUUUUUGGUGUGUUGGUUCACAGAAAACACAAAAAAAUGCAUUGUGUCCAUAAAUUUUGUGCCUAAAUUUUGUGAGCUACAAGCGGUAGGAAAUAUUUUUUUACCUGUUGUUUGCCUUCUAAAAAUACUGAAGUAUCCCCUGUUCCCCAUUUAUUUGUUUAUAGUGGAUAUCAUAUACAUGAAUUUAUAAAUCUUUAAUUUUGUAAACUUUAGCUCUUCAAUUAUUAUUGUAACAUGCAAUGUAUACAAUACAUACACUGUUUGUAUCAAUUUGUAUCUAGUAUCGUUCAUGUUAAUGAGUAUUUAAUAUGUUGCAGAUGGAUUUCUUUCAAGUUUUUUUUUUUCCUCAUUAAAAUAAUUAUGAUUGUGAC